Molecule: ribosomal RNA, 497 nt
Filed under: uncultured bacterium
Lineage: Bacteria
Description: partial 16S ribosomal RNA
Rfam family: Bacterial small subunit ribosomal RNA
Source: RNAcentral
GAUGAACGCUGGCGGCGUGCCUAAUACAUGCAAGUCGAGCGAACGGACGAGAAGCUUGCUUCUCUGAUGUUAGCGGCGGACGGGUGAGUAACACGUGGAUAACCUACCUAUAAGACUGGGAUAACUUCGGGAAACCGGAGCUAAUACCGGAUAAUAUUUUGAACCGCAUGGUUCAAAAGUGAAAGACGGUCUUGCUGUCACUUAUAGAUGGAUCCGCGCUGCAUUAGCUAGUUGGUAAGGCAACGGCUUACCAAGGCAACGAUGCAUAGCCGACCUGAGAGGGUGAUCGGCCACACUGGAACUGAGACACGGUCCAGACUCCUACGGGAGGCAGCAGUAGGGAAUCUUCCGCAAUGGGCGAAAGCCUGACGGAUCAACGCCGCGUGAGUGAUGAAGGUCUUCGGAUCGUAAAACUCUGUUAUUAGGGAAGAACAUAUGUGUAAGUAACUGUGCACAUCUUGACGGUACCUAAUCAGAAAGCCACGGCUAACUACGUG